Molecule: ribosomal RNA, 648 nt
Filed under: uncultured bacterium
Lineage: Bacteria
Description: bacterial SSU rRNA
Rfam family: Bacterial small subunit ribosomal RNA
Source: RNAcentral
GUAAUGCUUAGGAAUCUGCCUAUUAGUGGGGGACAACAUCUCGAAAGGGAUGCUAAUACCGCAUACGUCCUACGGGAGAAAGCAGGGGACCUUCGGGCCUUGCGCUAAUAGAUGAGCCUAAGUCGGAUUAGCUAGUUGGUGGGGUAAAGGCCUACCAAGGCGACGAUCUGUAGCGGGUCUGAGAGGAUGAUCCGCCACACUGGGACUGAGACACGGCCCAGACUCCUACGGGAGGCAGCAGUGGGGAAUAUUGGACAAUGGGGGGAACCCUGAUCCAGCCAUGCCGCGUGUGUGAAGAAGGCCUUUUGGUUGUAAAGCACUUUAAGCGAGGAGGAGGCUACCGAGAUUAAUACUCUUGGAUAGUGGACGUUACUCGCAGAAUAAGCACCGGCUAACUCUGUGCCAGCAGCCGCGGUAAUACAGAGGGUGCAAGCGUUAAUCGGAUUUACUGGGCGUAAAGCGCGCGUAGGUGGCCAAUUAAGUCAAAUGUGAAAUCCCCGAGCUUAACUCGGGAAUUGCAUUCGAUACUGGUUGGCUAGAGUAUGGGAGAGGAUGGUAGAAUUCCAGGUGUAGCGGUGAAAUGCGUAGAGAUCUGGAGGAAUACCGAUGGCGAAGGCAGCCAUCUGGCCUAAUACUGACACUGAGGUG